RNAcentral lists this ribosomal RNA (433 nucleotides) under uncultured bacterium. Its description in RNAcentral is "partial 16S ribosomal RNA". It matches the Rfam family "Bacterial small subunit ribosomal RNA", at positions 29 to 507 of the family's 1533-position model. The record is from RNAcentral.
AACGAACGCUGGCGGCAUGCCUAACACAUGCAAGUCGAACGAGACCUUCGGGUCUAGUGGCGCACGGGUGCGUAACGCGUGGGAACCUGCCCUUAGGUUCGGAAUAACUCCCCGAAAGGGGUGCUAAUACCGGAUAAUGUCUUCGGACCAAGGAUUUAUCGCCUUUGGAUGGGCCCGCGUUGGAUUAGCUAGUUGGUAGGGUAAAAGCCUACCAAGGCGACGAUCCAUAGCUGGUCUGAGAGGAUGAUCAGCCACACUGGGACUGAGACACGGCCCAGAAUCCUACGGGAGGCAGCAGUGGGGAAUAGUGGACAAUGGGCGAAAGCCUGAUCCAGCAAUGCCGCGUGAGUGAUGAAGGCCUUAGGGUUGUAAAGCUCUUUUAACCGGGAUGAUAAUGACAGUACCGGGAGAAUAAGCUCCGGCUAACUCCGUG